RNAcentral lists this RNase P RNA (391 nucleotides) under Terriglobia bacterium. Its description in RNAcentral is "RNase P RNA component class A". It matches the Rfam family "Bacterial RNase P class A". Rfam says of the family: Ribonuclease P (RNase P) is a ubiquitous endoribonuclease, found in archaea, bacteria and eukarya as well as chloroplasts and mitochondria. Its best characterised activity is the generation of mature 5'-ends of tRNAs by cleaving the 5'-leader elements of precursor-tRNAs. The record is from RNAcentral. Lineage: Bacteria; Pseudomonadati; Acidobacteriota; Terriglobia.
CUGUUAGGACGGGUGGUCGCCUGGGAAGUGGUUCAAACCGCCGACCGGGAGGAAAGUCCGGUCUCCAUAGGGCAGCAUGCCGGCUAACGGCCGGGGAGAUUCGUUCAAGCGAGUCUCACGGAAAGUGCCACAGAAAAUAUACCGCCGCCGGCCCAGGUUUCGGCUUGGGUUGACGGUAAGGGUGAAAUGGUGCGGUAAGAGCGCACCGCGGGCGGAGUAAUUCGUCCGGCAGGGUAAACCCCAUGCGGAGCAAGACCAAAUAGGAGAGAAGGAGCGGCCCGCUCCGUUCGACUCUCGGGUAGGUCGCACGAGCCAGUCAGUAAUGGCUGGCCCAGAGGAAUGAUCGCCGCCCUUCGGGGUACAGAAACCGGCUUAUAGUCCGCGCAGGCCC